This 254-nucleotide ribosomal RNA is filed under the name uncultured bacterium. Its description in RNAcentral is "partial 16S ribosomal RNA". It matches the Rfam family "Bacterial small subunit ribosomal RNA", at positions 524 to 776 of the family's 1533-position model. The record is from RNAcentral.
UACGGAGGGUGCGAGCGUUGUCCGGAAUCACUGGGCGUAAAGGGCGCGUAGGUGGCCCGUGGAAGUCUGCGGUGAAAGUCCGGCGCUCAACGCCGGAUCGGCCGUGGAUACUCUCGGGCUUGAGCUUACUAGAGGCAGAUGGAAUUCCGGGUGUAGCGGUGGAAUGCGUAGAGAUCCGGAAGAACACCGGUGGCGAAGGCGGUCUGCUGGGGUAAUGCUGACACUGAUGCGCGACAGCGUGGGGAGCAAACAGG